Molecule: ribosomal RNA, 545 nt
Filed under: uncultured bacterium
Lineage: Bacteria
Description: bacterial SSU rRNA
Rfam family: Bacterial small subunit ribosomal RNA
Source: RNAcentral
AAUAGAUACCCUGGUAGUCCACCCCGUAAACGUUGGGAACUAGUUGUGGGGUCCUUUCCACGGAUUCCGUGACGCAGCUAACGCAUUAAGUUCCCCGCCUGGGGAGUACGGCCGCAAGGCUAAAACUCAAAGGAAUUGACGGGGACCCGCACAAGCGGCGGAGCAUGCGGAUUAAUUCGAUGCAACGCGAAGAACCUUACCAAGGCUUGACAUACACCGGAAACGGCCAGAGAUGGUCGCCCCGCAAGGUCGGUGUACAGGUGGUGCAUGGUUGUCGUCAGCUCGUGUCGUGAGAUGUUGGGUUAAGUCCCGCAACGAGCGCAACCCUCGUUCUAUGUUGCCAGCACGUAAUGGUGGGAACUCAUGGGAUACUGCCGGGGUCAACUCGGAGGAAGGUGGGGAUGACGUCAAAUCAUCAUGCCCCUUAUGUCUUGGGCUUCACGCAUGCUACAAUGGCCGGUACAAAGGGCUGCAAUACCGUGAGGUGGAGCGAAUCCCAAAAAGCCGGUCCCAGUUCGGAUUGAGGUCUGCAACUCGACCUCAUG